ACCCUACGGGACGCAGCAGUGGGGAAUAUUGCACAAUGGGGGAAACCCUGAUGCAGCGACGCCGCGUGAGUGAAGAAGUAUUUCGGUAUGUAAAGCUCUAUCAGCAGGGAAGAAAUAGCGACCUUUGGGUCGCCAGACGGUACCUGAUUAAGAAGCCCCGGCUAACUACGUGCCAGCAGCCGCGGUAAUACGUAGGGGGCAAGCGUUAUCCGGAUUUACUGGGUGUAAAGGGGGCGCAGACGGCAAUGCAAGCCAGGAGUGAAAGCCCGGGGCCCAACCCCGGGACUGCUCUUGGAACUGCAUGG
RNAcentral lists this ribosomal RNA (305 nucleotides) under uncultured bacterium. Its description in RNAcentral is "bacterial SSU rRNA". It matches the Rfam family "Bacterial small subunit ribosomal RNA", at positions 335 to 640 of the family's 1533-position model. The record is from RNAcentral.